CUGCCCUCGCCCAGCCUGGCAGCCAGCAUGAGGCUCUUCCACAUCCUGCUGCUGCCUCUCUGCCUGCUCUUCGCCCAGGUGGGCCCAGCUUUGGUUUAGCCACAGUGGGCACCAACCUCAGACGGAGGGCACAGACCUCAGACGGAGGGCACAGACCUCAGACGGAGGGCACAGACCUCAGGCAGCUGGCAUAGACCUCAGAGGGCACAGACCUCAGAAGAAGGGCACAGACCUCAGAUGGAGGGCACAGACCUCAGAUGCAGGGGACAGGUCUUUGCAUGAGCAGCCCAGAGGUACUGGCCUCCUUGCGAGUCUGUUACACAGGAGUCCAGAAUAUACAUGCAUCAAAGAGGGGGGGACCUGCAACUUCUCCCCAUGCCCGC
Myotis davidii is the source of this 383-nucleotide long non-coding RNA. RefSeq lists it as uncharacterized. The transcript has 3 exons. Lineage: Eukaryota; Metazoa; Chordata; Mammalia; Chiroptera; Vespertilionidae. The record is from RefSeq and is a predicted model, not a curated record.